This 1748-nucleotide unclassified non-coding RNA is filed under the name Daphnia pulicaria. RNAcentral's name for it is "uncharacterized LOC124311530, transcript variant X1". The record is from RNAcentral. Lineage: Eukaryota; Metazoa; Arthropoda; Branchiopoda; Diplostraca; Daphniidae.
UCUUAGAAAAAUGUUCACACUGGACUAUGAACAUAUAUUUUCGUCACGAAAUCGAAAAUAUAUUUCAUGAAAUCGUGUACAAAUUUUUCACAAUUUUUGAAUAUAAGUCUUCGUAAAAAUUGCAAGUGAAGUUUUAUUUCACAUUUGAUGAAGUGUGAACAUAUAUUUCACACUAUAGGAGCGUUUUUGUAUGGGAUGGACGAAACACUUUGUCUAUGUUGGCGCAAUCUCUUCCCACCCUGCGCAAUCCCACCACGAAAAAUUAAAAAAAUGAAGGGCGUCUAUUUUUUUUCUUCUUUCUUCUUAUAUUUCUUUAUCUUUCUUUCUUUUCCUUAUGCUAUAUUCCCUUAGUUCCAUAUAGCCGCUGCCGUCAGUAAACCUUUGUAAUCAAAAGAGGCAAAGUCAAAUGUUAACAAAGAAAUAAACCCGCAAACAACCCUCAUAUUGCUACAGCGUUAGAAAAUCGCUUGAAAGCAAGAUGUUCAAAUUCGUUAUUUCAAAGGUAUGCAUCGCGAAGCUGUCAAAUGUUUGCACUACAUAUGAGUCAUAUAUUUCCCUACCUUAUUUGUAAAAAUUAUCUUCCCCUACCCGUCGGCAGUAUAGCUCCAAGACCUUGAAAACACCCCUUUGUCUACAUUGAAUUUCCCCCGAAUUUCAUUCCAGUAAAAUCUUGUCACACACAGUUGAGCUUCAUUCUUAUAGUUUUCAUUUCAAAAAUGGUCUUGUGUCGUGUUUCUUAUAUGAUGACUGGUAAAAAGAGUUUGUGCGAGUGUUCGUCUAUGGAUGACAUGCUCAGCUUCGUCGAAGUGUCUCGUCGAUAAAGUUCUGUUGAUUUUGGAGACGGCUGAUGGAUUUGAAGUUGAAGACGAACUCUCUUUCAGUGUCUAUGUGAGUAACACUGAGGAACCUUCUUUCUGGGUUAAAAAAAAUGUGAUAUAACAGAGCCGCAUCCAACACCAAGUGUCGAAAAUUCUCCGUCGGAUGGAGCCAAGGAGAAGGGCUUAUUUGACGACUUCAGAAAAAUAAUUGAAACGAAGGAAGGUCAGGCACCGAUGCUUUGCUCGACAAAUUAGACAAUCAGUCAGAGCUGGAUGACAAGGAUAUUAAGAAAAUGAAUACUGUUUUUGGUUCUUAUCUCUUCUUAAACUUAAACUAUGGAAGAGAGGUAAAUCCUGAUCCAGAGAUUUGUGACACGUUAGCUCGAGCAAUUGUAAGUCAGUUCACAAUGACAAAAACUGCUGUUGGCAAUGGCUGGGAGUCUUGGUUUGAUAUCGAGACGGGUAAAGGUCGUCUUGUGAAUUACGCUUCUCGUCAUUGGUUUCCCUACUACCUGCUUCACCGGGCAGAGGAAAAAAAGGACCGCGCCCUCAACGGGAAGAACUGGAGUUGCAACUUAUACAAUUUUUUCCGGAGGACACAAAUUUGAAUUCUGCCAUUGUAGCCGCUGCAUCCCGUGGGAUGAAACAACCAGGACUGAUUAUACUUGGAGUGGACCAAUUCUACCUUAAAUUAGAUGAGCAUGCAGUCAAAUUUGGAGUUGGUUGCGUGUCAGAGACCAUGGGAUAUGUUUUUGGGGCUUAUUUUGUGUUUAAUUGCUCAUAUCCGCCUCUGUGGCACAUGGUUUUUGGUUUUUUGGAAGAAGUUGUAAAUAUUCCUAAAGAACUUAGGAGCGUAAAAUCUUCAAUCACCAUUAGAAAUUUCGUGUUAAAACUUUCUAAAGUAUCUAAUUAGUUAGCAAUGUAUUAAGU